This 542-nucleotide ribosomal RNA is filed under the name Lactarius albidoarmeniacus. RNAcentral's name for it is "LSU rRNA". It matches the Rfam family "Eukaryotic large subunit ribosomal RNA", at positions 85 to 642 of the family's 3401-position model. Lineage: Eukaryota; Fungi; Basidiomycota; Agaricomycetes; Russulales; Russulaceae. The record is from RNAcentral.
AACUGCGAGUGAAGCGGGAAAAGCUCAAAUUUAAAAUCUGGCGGUCUUUGGCCGUCCGAGUUGUAAUUUAGAGAAGCGUCUUCCGCGCUGGACCGUGCACAAGUCUCCUGGAAUGGAGCGUCAUAGAGGGUGAGAAUCCCGUCUUUGGCACGGAUGCCUGGUGCUUCUGUGAUGCGCUCUCGAAGAGUCGAGUUGUUUGGGAAUGCAGCUCAAAAUGGGUGGUGAACUCCAUCUAAAGCUAAAUAUUGGCGAGAGACCGAUAGCGAACAAGUACCGUGAGGGAAAGAUGAAAAGCACUUUGGAAAGAGAGUGAAACAGUACGUGAAAUUGUUGAAAGGGAAACGCUUGAAGUCAGUCGCGUCGACCGAGACUCAGCCUUGCCUCGGCUUGGUGUACUUCUCGGCCCGACGGGUCAGCGUCAAUUUUGCCCCUCGGAUAAUGGCAAGGGAAAGGUGGCACCUUUACGGGUGUGUUAUAGUCUCCUGUCGCAUGCGAGGGGUGGGAUUGAGGAACUCAGCGCGCACCUUGGUGUCGGGGCUUCG